AUGAACGCUGGCGGCGUGCCUCACACAUGCAAGUCGAACGGAGUCCAGCCUUUAAGACCUUCGGGUCAAAGAGGGGAAGACUGAGUGGCGGACGGGUGAGUAACACGUGGGCAACCUGGCUCAUAGAGGGGGAUAACAGAGAGAAAUUUCUGCUAAUACCGCAUAAGCACACACUGCCGCAUGGCAGAGGGUGAAAAGAGAAUCGCUAUGAGAUGGACCCGCGUCUGAUUAGCCAGUUGGCAGGGUAAGAGCCUACCAAAGCGACGAUCAGUAGCCGAUCUGAGAGGAUGAACGGCCACAUUGGGACUGAGACACAGCCCAAACUCCUACGGGAGGCAGCAGUGGGGGAUAUUGCACAAUGGGGGGAACCCUGAUGCAGCGACGCCGCGUGAGUGAAGAAGUAUUUCGGUAUGUAAAGCUCUAUCAGCAGGGAAGAUAAUGACAGUACCUGAAUAAGAAGCCCCGGCUAACUACGUG
This 477-nucleotide ribosomal RNA is filed under the name uncultured bacterium. RNAcentral describes it as "partial 16S ribosomal RNA". It matches the Rfam family "Bacterial small subunit ribosomal RNA", at positions 30 to 507 of the family's 1533-position model. The record is from RNAcentral.